UGUGUGUGUGUGCCAAAGUUCUUAAUAAGACACGGGUAGAAAAGAAAAAGAAAAAAAAAACAUUCAUGGAAAAUAGAAUGAAAAGAAGAAAAGUUGUGAAAAAGAGCCCUAAGUGUUGCAGGAAUCUUCCCUUUGUAUUUAAAAGUUGAUUCGACAUUCUAAAGUGAAUUCCAAAGUGUCUAUUUCAUUGCUUUGCUUGCUAUCGCUUUAAGAACAUUUGUUAUUCAUAUCCUUUCUUUAUUAGCCAAUACCCCAAGCCCCGUUACAACCCUUGACUUCUAUCUUGAGUUUUAUGUGUUUCAAUUUGUGCUUUUAAGUAUUUUGAACCAAGUUGAAACCAAAAUUCUUCCAAAAGUGUGUUAGAGUCCAAAUCUGCCCCGUUUGUGUUUUUGGGCAGAUUUGAGCAUUUUUAGCUUGUUUUGAGUCCUUUGAGUUUGUUUUAAGUUCUUUGAGUCUAGUUUAGUGUUUUUAACUUUGUUCAUAUGUUUUUAAGUCAGUUUAGAAGUUUUAGCAAGCCCUUCUAAUCCCCGGUUUAGAACGAUCCCUACUUGCAUUUAUACUACAAUUUGACAACAAAAGGAUUUAAUUUGUGUGUUAAGUUAAUUUUCGCAUCAAUAGGCUAGCUAGGAGGUUCUUCUCCACACAUGACACACUUGCAAACAAAACGAUUUCCAGUUGCUUUUCAAUAAACCAUGAAUUCUCAACGCCCUAGAUUAACCGUGAAUUGCACUAAUUAACCCUCAGAUUUUCCUAAUUUUAUUGAAUUGGAUGAUUGCAUACAACAACCCAAAGCAUUCCCCACAAGUUCCUACAUGAAUUGCAUAAUAGAGAUACAAGCAAAGAUCAUUAAGUUCUAUGAAAAUCAUAAGCAUUGACAAGGCACUUGUAACUAUGAAUUGCAUGAAACUUAUGCCAAGAAUUUACUUAACGCGAUUGUGACUAACAACCUUCACUACUUGUGAAUAUAAGUUCAUAACGAUUAGGUGAAACUCCCUUAUAUCCUAGCAUCAGAUUUAUGCAUAUUUAUUAAGCGUGCACUCUCAACCAACACACACAAAUCAGUUUUAAUUCAAAUGGAUAAGUAUAUUGAAUUCACAACUUAUGAAUCACAACUGAAAGUAAUCAAAUCAUAUUGCAAGCAUGAACAUGGUUUCGAAUUCCCCCCUAGCUAAGAGGGGUUUAGUUCCUCAUACUCACAAAGUAAAGAUAAACAAAUUUAGACAUUGAAAACAAAAGAAAGAAAACACCUAGACACUCUAGCGAUCCAAACUGAACAGCAAGCACAUCUACGAACUUCCCUCCUUCCUCUUUGUUGCAGCACAAGGUUUAGGGUCAGGUUUUGGGGGUUAAGGCUAGGAUAGGUGUAUGGUGUGGCAAGGGGUGUUUUAGGUCAGAAACUAUGGAGAAUGGUGAGGGAUGGCUGCGGCAAAGAGGGAAGAAUAAUUUCUGGCGUGAAUGGGUGAAUAUGGGGGGUCUAUCUACGGCAAGAAUGAAAUAUGAGUAUAUAUAGGCACAUAAAACCCUAGGGAAAUCAGGUUAGGACUUGGACUUAGCAGAAAAUAAGGAUUAGGGCCCAAACAAUCAAAAUCCAAAGGGGAAAAGGCUUAAAAGGUGCGGCAGAUAUGUAGGAAAGGGAUUGGGCUUCUAGAAUGCCUUGCAAGGCAAGGAAAAGGGUUUCUAGAAGGGCUUAGGUGCGGCAAAGGAAGGAUAAGUGUCCAAAACCUCUACUUUGUGUCCAAAAAUGCUUAGGAAGCCUUCAAUGUUGCUAGAACUUAAGGCCAUGUAGGUUUAGGAAAGAUCAAACCAAAAUAAGAAACUUAGGGUUAACUUUCUUACUUCAAGUAGGAAUCCUUGUUUGAAUGGGAAUCUUCAUUCUUCUAGGAAUCCAUCUACAACUAGGAAUCUUACGUUGAUUAAGAAUCCUUCGUUGAUUAGGAAUCCUUCUUCAAUUAAGACUCCUCACAUCUUCAAAUCUUCAAUUUCGUCCAUUCCUUUCACUCCAAGCAUGUGAUAUCCAAUCCAAGCUCAAUUUUGCUCCAAAAGGCUCCAAAAUACACUUCUUUGCAUACUUUGCCCUUAAAAC
Molecule: long non-coding RNA, 2083 nt
Filed under: Malus domestica (apple)
Lineage: Eukaryota; Viridiplantae; Streptophyta; Magnoliopsida; Rosales; Rosaceae
Description: long non-coding RNA (MDOM_LNC013869)
Source: RNAcentral